Molecule: RNA transcript, 4006 nt
Organism: Austrofundulus limnaeus
Lineage: Eukaryota; Metazoa; Chordata; Actinopteri; Cyprinodontiformes; Rivulidae
Gene name: transmembrane O-mannosyltransferase targeting cadherins 2
Exons: 13
Source: RefSeq, a predicted model, not a curated record
GAGAAGUGUAGAAAACCACAGCUCUGUACUUCACAUCUUUCUCCUAGAGGAGAGUCAGUGCGCAUGCGCAGAGCUGCUGAAAAGCCACAGUGAGAAACCACGGCCGUGAGAUGCGCGCGCUGAGGACGCCGCAGCACAGCAAUGCCUCCAGCCUCGCCUCCCCUCCAGCAGCUCUGACCGGUCUCCCACCGCAAUGGGUUAGAGGGGGACAUGGAGGCAAACUUUGACACGCCGACACCGCUGGGAACGGCCGGAGAGCUGAGCUGCCGCGCGCACAACAACAACAACAACAGAGAGAAUUGAGAGCGAUUAAAGAAAGGAACCUCUUUCGUUUUCUGCCUGUUUCCUCUGCUGCUUUGGCUUUGAGAGAUGAUCACGGAGCUGCUGUGCACCGCCGUGGCUGUGGGUCUCUAUCUGAACACGCUGGACGCAGAUUUCUGCUACGAUGACAGUCGAGCCAUCAAGACAAACCAGGAUCUCCUCCCAGACACUCCAUGGACCAACAUCCUGUACGAUGACUUCUGGGGCACCCUGCUCACCCACAGCGGCAGCCACAAAUCUUUCCGUCCCCUCUGCACCCUCUCCUUCCGUCUCAACUACGCCGUUCACGGCCUCCACCCCUGGGGCUACCACCUGCUGAACAUCGUGCUGCACGGCCUGGUCACAGCCCUCGUCACAACCCUCGGUCGCUCGCUGCUCGGCGGGGGGCCGUGGAGCCUUUUCGCCGGCCUGCUUUUCGCCUCCCACCCCGUGCACACGGAAGCAGUGGCCGGCGUGGUCGGCAGGGCGGACGUCGGCGCGGCCUUGCUUUUCCUGCUCUCGCUCCUCUGCUACGCGAGACACUGCCAGCUUCGAAACGAGCCGCACGGAGCCGUUUGGAGCCGGCGAUGCGGAGGCGGCGGCUCGGCUGCCAGAUGCUGGGGCUGGAUGCUGGGCAGCCUGUGGUGCGCAGCUGCCAGCAUGUUGUGGAAGGAGCAGGGGGUGACCGUCCUGGCUGUGUCGGCUGUGUAUGACCUCUUUGUGUUCCAGAGACUUCGCCUGCACCAGGCACUGCUGCUCUUAGGGAAGAAAAAAAACAUCAAUGUUUUGCUGAGUCUCUGCACACUGGCUUCCUGGGGAGUGAUUCUGCUGUCAGCUCGUGUCUACUGGAUGGGAAAUAAGCCUCCCAACUUCUCCAACUCUGACAACCCCGCAGCUGAUUCGCCGCAUUUUCUCAUUCGAACAUUAACGUUCUUCUACUUGCCUGCUGCCAAUGCUUGGCUCCUGCUUUGCCCAGACAAGCUCAGUUUUGAUUGGUCCAUGGAUGCCGUACCCUUGGUCAGGUCUCUAACCGACUGGAGGAACCUUCACACCAUUGCAUUUUAUGGCAGCAUUGUCUGUCUGACUUUGUUUGGCCUUCGAGGUCCCUCAUCCUCAGUGGAAAAAGAAACCAAUGGGAAACCCCAUGUGACAAAUGGGAAGUCUAUUACUAAUGGAAAUGGGUAUCAUGUCCCCGACCCAAACCAAAACACAGAUCUGGGGUUGGCAAAAACCACCCUGAAUGGAUCCGCCAUACCCCACCACUGUUCCCCACAAACAUCCCUGCCCCCUACAGCAAACCUUGUAGUGUUUUCAUUAGGUAUCAUGGCAUUGCCUUUCCUCCCAGCCACCAACCUAUUCUUUUAUGUGGGUUUUGUAAUUGCAGAGAGGGUACUUUACAUUCCCAGCAUAGGCUUUUGUAUACUGGUUGCAGCCGGUGCAAGAACCUUGUAUAUCAGACUGAGGACUCGAGGCUGCAAGGUCCUAAUGUUGGGUCUUUGCAGUGGACUAGUGCUGCUCAAUGGCCUCAGAACUGUUCAAAGGAACAAAGACUGGAGCAACGAGGAAAAUCUUUACAAGUCUGGGAUCAAGGUAAACCCUGCCAAAGCCUGGGGAAACUUGGGGAAUGUACUGAAGAACCAUGGCAAGAUGGCAGAGGCAGAGAAGGCUUACCGGAAUGCUCUGCACUACCGAGGGAACAUGGCUGACAUGCUUUAUAACCUAGGUUUGCUGCUGCAGGAGAGUGAACGUUUUUCCGAAGCACUGCAUUAUUACACACUAGCCAUUGGGAGUCGGCCUACUCUGGCAUCUGCCUACUUGAACACAGGAAUCGUCCUAAUGAACCAGGGAAACCUGGAAGAGGCCAAACGCACCUUCCUUACAUGUGCCGAGAUUCCCGAUGAAAACCUGAAAGAUCCACAUGCCCACAAAAGCUCUGUAACCAGCUGCCUGUACAACCUGGGGAAACUGCUUCAUGAACAGGGCCAGCAGGAGGAAGCCCUGUCUGUGUAUAAAGAAGCACUGCAGAAAAUGCCGAGGCAGUUUGCGCCACACAGCCUUUUCAAUAUGAUGGGAGAGGCCUACAUGAGGCUGAACAGGCUGGAGGAAGCUGAACAUUGGUACAGGGAGUCCCUUAAAUCCAAACCUGACCAUAUUCCAGCCCACCUCACCUAUGGCAAACUCCUGUCUAUCAUUGGGCAGAAAACCGAUGCAGAGAAAUAUUACCUGAGGGCAAUUCAACUGGAUCCGACAAAAGGAAACUGCUACAUGCACUAUGGGCAGUUCCUGUUGGAGCAGUCUCGUCUGGGUGAGGCUGCGCAGAUGGCAGAACGAGCUGCGGAGUUGGACGGCUCGGAGUUCGACGUGGUCUUCAAUGCUGCUCACAUGUUAAGACAGUCCAAUCUAAACGAGGCAGCAGAGAGGCAGUACGAGCGUGCAGCCAGCCUCAGACCAGAUUACCCAGCCGCUCUGAUGAACCUCGGCGCCAUCCUCCACCUGAACGGGAAGCUUCCCGAGGCCGAGGCCAACUACCUGCGCGCCCUGCAGCUCAAACCCGACGACGUCAUCACCCAGUCCAACCUGCGCAAGCUGUGGAACAUCAUGGAGAGGCAGGGACUCAGGACUAAGCAACGAGGCGACCCUUGAACUGGAUUUGUUGCUGACGGGAACAAGAGGAGACCAAAAAAACAAAAAAAAAAAACUCCCAUCAGUCCAGUUUAAUGGAGCUUUGAUAUAAGCACUGUUACCGUUCAGUGGCUCAGUCUACGCCAACGUCAUUUGGUUUUGGGCCACGUUGAGAUCACUGUGGUUUGAUUGAGGAGCAUUUUGAGAUAAAUACAUUGAGACUGGGUUUUAAGGGAGAACACAAGAGUUUGUAAWUAUUUUGUAACACCAGCUGGUUUGACUUAAACAGGAAGAGCCGAGCUCCGAUUUAUAUGUCGAUGCUUGUUUGCAAGUUUUAGGGAACGACUUUAAAAACAAACAAAAAAAAAAGCCUUUUGUUGUUCCGAAGGGAGCCGUUUAUCGUGCAAAGAUUUUUCAACAGUGUCGUCACAAAAGAAGGAAACUGAACCCCGCGUUUAAAGCAUCUCCGCUUCGGGAAGAAAAGCAGCCAAAUCUGGUGUUGGUGAAUUUGCAUGAUGGUUUAUAGACGCCAUGUUUGGACAAGGAUUUUCAGUGCACAGCCAUCUUUUUAGUACCCUUUUCUAACAGUGUUUUUUUUUUAAAAGCACACUGGAGCCGAUGAUUUGUUUGAACUUGUGAGUAACAGCUCAUGAGGGAGCUCCUCCCCGGUGGUGCCAAAGCCUGCACCGAGUCCUCACACCUCUCGUGCCAACUAAGAACUGUUGUCGCUCGUGUGUCGUGUUUGUUGUGUAAAAUGAUUUUUAUGUCGUGAUCAAAUGAUCGCGUUUAAUUUAUUAAUGUGUCGUAUUUUACAUAAAAUGCCAACACUGUGCCAUUGCAGUCACCCUUUCCCGUUCCUGUAAACAGACGUCUGUAGGCAACACGGCGGUUAUCUUAAAACUGUUCGUUUUUAGCCUCUCGGCUCGGGGACGUCUCAGAGCUGAAGAUCCGUGCCACAGAGAAGAGUUUUUCUGAUGAUCGUGAUGUUUGGUUGAAAUGUAGAAACCGUGUAGCUGAAAUGGUCUUUUGUAAAAGAACAGUGACCCCUUUUUUUCAUAAUAUUAAAAAAAGAUUUUUCUGCGUA